RNAcentral lists this ribosomal RNA (253 nucleotides) under uncultured bacterium. Its description in RNAcentral is "partial 16S ribosomal RNA". It matches the Rfam family "Bacterial small subunit ribosomal RNA", at positions 524 to 776 of the family's 1533-position model. The record is from RNAcentral.
UACAGAGGUCUCAAGCGUUGUUCGGAUUCAUUGGGCGUAAAGGGUGUGUAGGUGGCGCGCUAAGUCAGGUGUGAAAUUUCGGAGCUUAACUCCGAAACUGCAUUUGAUACUGGCGUGCUUGAGGACUGGAGAGGAGACUGGAAUUCAUGGUGUAGCAGUGAAAUGCGUAGAGAUUAUGAGGAAGACCAGUGGCGAAGGCGGGUCUCUGGACAGUUCCUGACACUGAGGCACGAAGGCCAGGGGAGCAAACGGG